RNAcentral lists this ribosomal RNA (253 nucleotides) under uncultured bacterium. RNAcentral's name for it is "partial 16S ribosomal RNA". It matches the Rfam family "Bacterial small subunit ribosomal RNA", at positions 524 to 776 of the family's 1533-position model. The record is from RNAcentral.
UACGUAGGGUGCGAGCGUUAAUCGGAAUUACUGGGCGUAAAGCGUGCGCAGGCGGUUCGUUGUGUCUGUGGUGAAAGCCCCGGGCUUAACCUGGGAACUGCGUUUGAAACUGGGAGACUUGAGUGUGGCAGAGGGGGGUGGAAUUCCACGUGUAGCAGUGAAAUGCGUAGAUAUGUGGAGGAACACCGAUGGCGAAGGCAGCCCCCUGGGUUAACACUGACGCUCAUGCACGAAAGCGUGGGGAGCAAACAGG